This 481-nucleotide ribosomal RNA is filed under the name uncultured bacterium. RNAcentral's name for it is "partial 16S ribosomal RNA". It matches the Rfam family "Bacterial small subunit ribosomal RNA", at positions 28 to 523 of the family's 1533-position model. The record is from RNAcentral.
GACGAAUGCUGGCUGCGUGCUUAACACAUGCAAGUCGAACGGUGAAGGGGAGCUUGCUCCCCGGAUCAGUGGCGAACGGGUGAGUAACACGUGGGCAACCUGCCCCUCACUCUGGGAUAACUCCGGGAAACCGGGGCUAAUACCGGAUACGACAGGGAGCGACAUCGCUCCUGGUGGAAAGAACUUCGGUGAGGGAUGGGCCCGCGGCCUAUCAGCGAGUUGGUGGGGUAACGGCCCACCAAGGCGACGACGGGUAGCCGGCCUGCGAGGGCGACCGGCCACACUGGGACUGAGACACGGCCCAGACUCCUACGGGAGGCAGCAGUGGGGAAUAUUGCGCAAUGGGCGAAAGCCUGACGCAGCGACGCAGCGUGAGGGACGAAGGCCUUCGGGUUGUAAACCUCUUUCAGCGGGGACGAAGCGAAAGUGACGGUACCCGCAGAAGAAGCACCGGCUAACUACGUGCCAGCCGCCGCCGUAA